AUUCAAGGGUUCGGACACUUACCAGUUCCGAAUGUAAAUUUGGUUGGAGCAGGUUGAAGGUCUUGGUGCCGGGAGUAAUAAGUCUGAAAGGAAAUAAGUGAUCGGAGAAGGAAUGGUGGUUAGAAAUCUAGAGAGAAGGUUGGGAAGUUUAGAGAGAAAGAGGAGGAUUUGAGUUUUCAGAAAGUUGAAGUUUUGAGGAAGAAGAAGGUUUGCAUGGGAAAAGUGGCGUCAGGUUUCACUCUUACCUUAAAUACUGCCUCCACUAAGAACGUUCGGCCCACUCCCAGCUUGCCACCUGACUUCCACUUUCUGGAAGUUCACAUUCCUUCUGCUGCC
RNAcentral lists this long non-coding RNA (336 nucleotides) under Vigna radiata. RNAcentral's name for it is "long non-coding RNA (VRAD_LNC004435)". Lineage: Eukaryota; Viridiplantae; Streptophyta; Magnoliopsida; Fabales; Fabaceae. The record is from RNAcentral.